Molecule: long non-coding RNA, 529 nt
Filed under: Lathyrus oleraceus (garden pea)
Lineage: Eukaryota; Viridiplantae; Streptophyta; Magnoliopsida; Fabales; Fabaceae
Description: Pisum sativum (pea) long non-coding RNA (PSAT_LNC002203)
Source: RNAcentral
AACUUCGUUCCAUUUGUUUUUCAUUUGAAACCUUCACAACUCUUAUUUCACAACUCAAUUUUUGUUUUUCACUAUUUUUCUUCCAAGCAAGCAUUCAUUUUCAUUUUCUCUAUAUUAUAUAUAUAUAUUUUUUUCUUUUCUUUCACAUCAUAUUUAUAAAACAGAUGUUUUUCUUUUCUAAUUUUUUUUAUUUUCAAUGCUUGCUCGAUUUUUUAAGAGUUGUGGCACUUACUGAUUCUCAUUUUCGUUCUCCCCAACUUAUUUCUUACUCACCCUAAGUGAAUGCUCUUAACUUUUUACGGUAAAAGAACAAUAAUCAAGAUUUUUCGGGUUGUAAAAAAAAGAUUUUUGAAAUCUCGCUUUAUUUCAAGCUGAGAUUCAAUUGUUUAAGCUCAAAGGGGUUAACGAAUACUCUCUCUGCUCACAGGUAAGUUAUAUUUGGAACUGGUUGUGCUCGAUAGAAAACAAGUGCCUUGAUCAUUUCUAAUUGCUUCCACAUAUUCACAAUAAUAAAAGACAAAGCAUGAAU